AACGAACGCUGGCGGCGGGCUUAACACAUGCAAGUCGAGCGCCCCGCAAGGGGAGCGGCAGACGGGUGAGUAACGCGUGGGAACGUGCCCUUUGCUACGGAAUAGCUCCGGGAAACUGGAAUUAAUACCGUAUGAGCCCUUUGGGGGCAAGAUUUAUCGGCAAAGGAUCGGCCCGCGUUGGAUUAGCUAGUUGGUGGGGUAAAGGCCUACCAAGGCGACGAUCCAUAGCUGGUCUGAGAGGAUGUUCAGCCACAUUGGGACUGAGACACGGCCCAAACUCCUACGGGAGGCAGCAGGGGGGAAUAUUGGACAAUGGGCGCGAGCCUGAUCCAGCCAUGCCGCGUGAGUGAUGGAGGCCUUAGGGUUGUAAAGCUCUUUCACCGGAGAAGAUAAUGACGGUAUCCGGAGAAGAAGCCCCGGCUAACUUCGUGCCAGCCGCCGCCGUAA
This 447-nucleotide ribosomal RNA is filed under the name uncultured bacterium. Its description in RNAcentral is "partial 16S ribosomal RNA". It matches the Rfam family "Bacterial small subunit ribosomal RNA", at positions 29 to 523 of the family's 1533-position model. The record is from RNAcentral.